RNAcentral lists this ribosomal RNA (541 nucleotides) under uncultured bacterium. RNAcentral describes it as "partial 16S ribosomal RNA". It matches the Rfam family "Bacterial small subunit ribosomal RNA", at positions 355 to 902 of the family's 1533-position model. The record is from RNAcentral.
UGGGGAAUAUUGCACAAUGGGCGAAAGCCUGAUGCAGCAACGCCGCGUGCGGGAUGACGGCCUUCGGGUUGUAAACCGCUUUCAGCAGGGACGAAGGUUUUCUGACGGUACCUGCAGAAGAAGCACCGGCUAACUACGUGCCAGCAGCCGCGGUGAUACGUAGGGUGCGAGCGUUGUCCGGAAUUAUUGGGCGUAAAGAGCUUGUAGGCGGUCCGUUGCGUCGGAAGUGAAAACUCAGGGCUUAACCCUGAGCCUGCUUUCGAUACGGGCGGACUUGAGGGAUGUAGGGGAGAACGGAAUUCCUGGUGGAGCGGUGAAUGCGCAGAUAUCAGGAGGAACACCAGUGGCGAAGGCGGUUCUCUGGACAUUUCCUGACGCUGAGAAGCGAAAGUGUGGGGAGCAAACAGGCUUAGAUACCCUGGUAGUCCACGCCGUAAACGGUGGGCACUAGGUGUGGGACCCAUUCCCACGGGUUCCGUGCCGUAGCUAACGCAUUAAGUGGCCCCCGCCUGGGGAGUACCGGCCGCAAGGCUAAAAACUC